RNAcentral lists this ribosomal RNA (419 nucleotides) under bacterium. RNAcentral's name for it is "partial 16S ribosomal RNA". It matches the Rfam family "Bacterial small subunit ribosomal RNA", at positions 355 to 776 of the family's 1533-position model. The record is from RNAcentral.
UGGGGGAUAUUGCACAAUGGGCGAAAGCCUGAUGCAGCGACGCCGCGUGGGGGAUGAAGGCCUUCGGGUUGUAAAUUUUUUUUGCUCGGAACAAGGCAUGCUAAUGGGUGUGUUGAGUGUAGGGGUUGAUUAGCGCCGGCUAACUACGUGCCAGCAGCCGCGGUAAUACGUAGGGCGCGAGCGUUGUCCGGAAUUAUUGGGCGUAAAGGGCUUGUAGGUGGCUGGUUGCGUCUGUCGUGAAAGCUCAUGGCUUAACUGUGGGUUUGCGGUGGGUACGGGCUGGCUUGAGUGCAGUAGGGGAGGCUGGAAUUCCUGGUGUAGCGGUGGAAUGCGCAGAUAUCAGGAGGAAUACCGGUGGCGAAGGCGGGUCUCUGGGCUGUUACUGACACUGAGGAGCGAAAGCAUGGGGAGCGAACAGG